Molecule: RNA transcript, 1825 nt
Organism: Cygnus olor (mute swan)
Lineage: Eukaryota; Metazoa; Chordata; Aves; Anseriformes; Anatidae
Gene: MCHR2
Gene name: melanin concentrating hormone receptor 2
Exons: 8
Source: RefSeq, a predicted model, not a curated record
AGAGAGAUAUGGCCAUUUCCCUCUGCUCUUCUUUCUGAUUUCUUAUGAAGGGCUCCGUGAUAUUUCAGGGAGGUUUAAAACUGCAUAGAUAUAUAAGUGCUGUGAAACAGAGUAGAUGGUGAAAUAGCGUUCAGCGAUGGGCACAGCCUCGGGCUGUGUGUUGGGAGCAAGGCGCUGCUUCCUCCUGUCGUGCCGAAGAUGACUCCGCCAGCCCGCAGACUAAGGAGCACAGCACGAUGAGAGCCCAGGUCUUGCCAUCAUGGUACAGAUGUGCUUACCGUAUGCAGCACAUACAUUGCUUCAGGAAGGGCCUGUCUCAACUAUGCUUUACAAAACUGACAGAUAUGGUCUGAAUUUCUUCUUCAGUUCUUGGUCCAAAAAUAAGAAAAAUUACAUCACUUACAAGAAGGGCACUGUUGAUAAACAGGUCUUGGAAUGGAAAGCAUCAUUACCAGGUGAUCAGUGCUGCAGAGACAAUCAUCCUUCCCUCUCUGAUUGGAAUUAUCUGUUCAACAGGCUUAGUUGGAAAUAUCCUCAUUGUGUUCACAAUAAUAAGACUGUCAUCUUGGCUUUCAUGAUCAUACCAUGUACUUUUGGUGAUGGUUGAUUUCAUAGACCUUCCUCCAAGCAGCAUUGUAACAGCAAGCUUGGCAGAAAGGCAAAAAGAAGUUCAGUAAUAGGCACAGGUAACAGGUACCAUGUACCUGGCGCCUUGCACAUUUCUGGAGCUCUGCGGGCUCCAUCACUGCCUCCUUGUCCAGCUCUCUGCAUCAGAGACACAGCCCAGACACUCCUGUUAUUGUUUGUUUCAGGUAUACACUUUAUCUUACUAUAACAACUUUCUUUUUUCCUUUGCCACUGAUACUUAUUUGCUACAUUUUAAUUUUAUGUUACACAUGAGAUACCUAUCAGCAAAACAAGAAAGCAGAAAGAUACAACACCAGUAUCCCCAGGCAAAGAGUCAUGAAGCUCACUAAGAUGGUGCUCGCUCUGGUCAUUGUGUUCGUGGUAAGCGCUGCCCCAUUCCAUGUGAUCCAGCUUGUGAAUCUUCAGGUUUCACACCCAACCCUAAUCUCCUACGUGAACUACUACGUCUCCAUUUGCCUCAGCUAUGUCAGCAGCAGCAUUAAUCCAUUUCUCUACAUCCUGCUCAGUGGGAACUUCCAGAAGCAUCUCCGGAGGUGCAUAAACAUGGAAGUAAGGAUGGCAGAACAGGAUGUCAACCACAUUGAAAACACCCUGAAGUCAAGUUUUUGAAAAAAUGCAUUAUCUGUGUACCAAUUUUAUUGGUCACUGUAGAUACGCCUGAUUUCACUUCCUUCAUCAAAGCGUAACUCAGAAGUGGCUUUGUCGCUGGAAUUGUAUCAGUGUAAAGUUGGUGUGAGAAGAUGAUCUGCUCCACUAUUUGAAAAGUUAUUGCUCCUAGAGGAGGGAUUCUCUGCAAAAAUAUUCUUCAUUAUUGUGCCAUUGCCUUUUUAUGGUUAUUUGUACAUAGAAGAACCAAAUGUAUAGAGACAGAAGUAGACAUUAAGCAAAAAUAUAGUCCUCUGGUAGUAAAAGAAAAAAAAAAAAAAACUGCUGCAAACAUUCAGGACAUUGUGUGUGAAGUCAUGGAAAUUGUUAAUGACCACAAGAGACUUAGUUACUGGUGACUCAGAAGGGGGUAACUUUUGAUUUUUAUCUGUAGAUAUACAGCUGUCUCAUCUGGCACUCAUUCCCGCAGCUAUUGAAGGCAGGAGAGAGACAUAAAAGGCCUUUUCAGAGGAAAACUACUUUUGAAUUAACCUUUGUACACGUCCUUGCAAAUAAAGAAGUGAAUUCACAA